Molecule: unclassified non-coding RNA, 485 nt
Filed under: uncultured Glomus
Lineage: Eukaryota; Fungi; Glomeromycota; Glomeromycetes; Glomerales; Glomeraceae
Description: SSU rRNA
Rfam family: Eukaryotic small subunit ribosomal RNA
Source: RNAcentral
AGCAGCCGCGGUAAUUCCAGCUCCAAUAGCGUAUAUUAAAGUUGCUGCAGUUAAAAAGCUCGUAGUUGAAUUUCGGGACUAAUAUGUCGGUCGUGCCUCGGUACGUACUGGCUUAUUGGUUUCUCCUUUCUGAAGAACCAUGAUGUCAUUUAUUUGGUGUCGUGGGGAAUCAGGACUGUUACUUUGAAAAAAUUAGAGUGUUUAAAGCAGGCUCACGCUUGAAUACAUUAGCAUGGAAUAAUGAAAUAGGACGUUUGAUUCUAUUUUGUUGGUUUCUAGGAUCGACGUAAUGAUUAAUAGGGAUAGUUGGGGGCAUUAGUAUUCAAUUGUCAGAGGUGAAAUUCUUGGAUUUAUUGAAGACUAACUACUGCGAAAGCAUUUGCCAAGGAUGUUUUCAUUAAUCAAGAACGAAAGUUAGGGGAUCGAAGACGAUCAGAUACCGUCGUAGUCUUAACCAUAAACUAUGCCGACUAGGGAUCGGAUGA